RNAcentral lists this ribosomal RNA (546 nucleotides) under fungal sp. J6 JY-2013. RNAcentral describes it as "eukaryotic LSU rRNA". The stretch from base 190 to 343 matches the Rfam family "5.8S ribosomal RNA". The record is from RNAcentral. Lineage: Eukaryota; Fungi.
CCCUCCGUAGGGGUAACCUGCGGAGGGAUCAUUACAGAGUUAUCCAACUCCCAAACCCAUGUGAACUUAUCUCUUUGUUGCCUCGGCGCAAGCUACCCGGGACCUCGCGCCCCGGGCGGCCCGCCGGCGGACAAACCAAAACUCUUGUUAUCUUAGUUGAUUAUCUGAGUGUCUUAUUUAAUAAGUCAAAACUUUCAACAACGGAUCUCUUGGUUCUGGCAUCGAUGAAGAACGCAGCGAAAUGCGAUAAGUAAUGUGAAUUGCAGAAUUCAGUGAAUCAUCGAAUCUUUGAACGCACAUUGCGCCCAUUAGUAUUCUAGUGGGCAUGCCUGUUCGAGCGUCAUUUCAACCCCUAAGCACAGCUUAUUGUUGGGAACCUACGGCUUCGUAGUUCCUCAAAGACAUUGGCGGAGUGGCAGUGGUCCUCUGAGCGUAGUAAUCUUUUAUCUCGCUUCUGUUAGGUGCUGCCCCCCCGGCCGUAAAACCCCCAAUUUUUUCUGGUUGACCUCGGAUCAGGUAGGAAUACCCGCUGAACUUAAGCAUUAA